AAAAAAAAAGGAAAAACGGAAAAAAAUUCCCGACAAAUCGAACGUGUAACUAUUACGUCGUUCCGGCGUAGAAGAGUCCGGACGGCGUGACGUGCGCGCGUAUGAAGUUCGAAUAACGAAAAAAAAGCUUUCUGAUAUAGCGACGGGGGCGGGGGCAAAGGGGAGAGGGCGAAUAGUAGAAGAAUAGAAACGCACUCGGGUCGGGUCUCCGGACGGCUAUGGGUCGGGACAACGAGUUCUGCGAGUGUACCUCGAUAACAAAUAGAUUUCCGCGGAACGACCGAUCGGCGGUGCGCUCGGAGUAGGGGGUGGGGGGAGGGUCGGCAGAGUAGGAGUUUCGGGGUCGCGUUCUCGCCGCCCUCCCGCCGCGCUGCUCGUUCGGCCCGAAAAUACAACGGUCGGUCUGUCGGUGCGCCGGGCCGAACGUCGGAGUUUCCGGCGGUGCGGGUUUUAAACUGGUCGCGUUUGGCGGGCCCGGGGAGCUAUUGCCGGAUCGUAACCGUUAGUAACUGAAUCCACCUCUCCGGUCGAACGACCGCGGGGCGUAAACGGACGAAAAGCCGUCGAACGGGUGGGAAACCGAAAAUAACGGCGGCGACGGACGACGGCCGGUGUAACGGUGUCGAUCCGGGGGAAAAAAAAAAAACCGAAACAAAACCGAAUUCCGGAGGGCGUAAGAACGAUUUCCGAUAGGACGGGCGCCUAGCGUUACCGCCGCCGUUACACGGUCCGAUGCGAUACGAUGUUCGCGGUUCACGACGGCAACGUAAUGUUUGACGCGUACAAUUACGACAGGUUAACGGUGGUUUUUUAACGACAAAAAAAAAAAAAUAAUAAUAAUAAUAAUUACAAUAACGUACAGUAAAAUUAUCGUUAAUAAAUAUUAUCGUCCGCCGGGUCGGUGUGUUUCGCCGUCGUUUUCGUCUCCGUUACUCCUCUCUCUCUCUCUCUCUCUCUCUCGCACUCUCGGUGCCGGUUCCGCGUGAUCCCCG
Cinara cedri is the source of this 992-nucleotide non-coding RNA. The record is from the annotation of a GenBank genome assembly. NCBI's taxonomy places the organism in Eukaryota, Metazoa, Arthropoda, Insecta, Hemiptera, Aphididae.